Molecule: long non-coding RNA, 813 nt
Filed under: Homo sapiens (human)
Lineage: Eukaryota; Metazoa; Chordata; Mammalia; Primates; Hominidae
Description: non-protein coding lnc-GNB2-1:1
Source: RNAcentral
AUUAAGCGGCCAGGAGGAGAUGGGGCAGGGGGCACCUAGCAGGGACUUAGAGACCGUCGCUAAGGAACUGGCGGCAGAGAGGAGAGCAGGGAAGAGGCGGAGACCAGGACUCUGCAGGACGACUGAUGAGGACAGCUGGCGAUGAGGCCCCCAUCUGAUUCUGGAGUCAGUGUCUGGCUGAAAGCUGGGCAUACAGGACUAUUCAAGACGGAGUUUCACCAUGUUGACCUCAGGUGAUCCACCUACCUGGGCCUCCUAAACUGCCGGGAUUACAGGCGUGAGCCACCGCGCCCAGCUCUUCAAGUUUCUGCUACCAAGAUGCCUUCACUGAAUAAGGAGCUGGGUGUACAAUGGGCACUCGUGACCUGGCAUGAGCGGAUGCCAGCAUGCCACUGUCCACGGGCAUCUAAGUGGGGAUAUUCAGUCAGCCAUUGGAUGUACACCAAGUCGGCACACGGGGAAGAGACAUCUGGGCUGGAGACAGUAAUGGAUGAAGUCACCAAUGAAUAACAUGGAGAGUGAGCAGAGGAGGCCAAAGUCAGUAUUCUGGGAAAAACAAUGUUUGCAGAGUGCCCUGAGGAGGAGGAGAUGCUAAGAAGCCAGAAGAGGUAGAGGAAGGAGGCCCUGUGACCCAUCAGAGCCACAUCCGCCACUUGCUCUCGAGGGUCCUGCCUGCUCAGAUAAGUUGGCUACUCAUUGGUCAUCACCUGGCAACUCUGUCCUUCCUUGCAUCUGGCCAACUUCUUUUUCCUCUCUCUUUCCUCCUGCCCUCCUCAUUACCAUCUAAAUUAGCUCCAGUAGCUCUCAUCAAAA